GAUGAACGCUGGCGGCGUGCCUAAUACAUGCAAGUCGAGCGAACGGACGAGAAGCUUUCUUCUCUGAUGUUAGCGGCGGACGGGUGAGUAACACGUGGAUAACCUACCUAUAAGACUGGGAUAACUUCGGGAAACCGGAGCUAAUACCGGAUAAUAUUUUGAACCGCAUGGUUCAAAAGUGAAAGACGGUCUUGCUGUCACUUAUAGAUGGAUCCGCGCUGCAUUAGCUAGUUGGUAAGGUAACGGCUUACCAAGGCAACGAUGCAUAGCCGACCUGAGAGGGUGAUCAGCCACACUGGAACUGAGACACGGUCCAGACUCCUACGGGAGGCAGCAGUAGGGAAUCUUCCGCAAUGGGCGAAAGCCUGACGGAGCCACGCCGCGUGAGUGAUGAAGGUCUUCGGAUCGUAAAACUCUGUUAUUAGGGAAGAACAUAUGUGUGAGUAACUGUGCACAUCUUGACGGUACCUAAUCAGAAAGCCACGGCUAACUACGUG
This 497-nucleotide ribosomal RNA is filed under the name uncultured bacterium. Its description in RNAcentral is "partial 16S ribosomal RNA". It matches the Rfam family "Bacterial small subunit ribosomal RNA", at positions 28 to 507 of the family's 1533-position model. The record is from RNAcentral.